GGGGACAACCCGCCGAAAGGCGGGCUAAACCCGCGUACAUGCCACCGGGGCAUCCCGGAGGCAGGAAAGGCUUCGGCCGGACAGGGAUGGGCAUGCGGCGCAUUAGGCAGUAGGCGGGGUAACGGCCCACCUAACCGACGAUGCGUAGGGGUUCUGAGAGGAAGGUCCCCCACACUGGUACUGAGACACGGACCAGACUCCUACGGGAGGCAGCAGUGAGGAAUAUUGGUCAAUGGUCGGGAGACUGAACCAGCCAAGCCGCGUGAGGGAUGAAGGUACAGAGUAUCGUAAACCUCUUUUGUCAGGGAACAAAGGCGGGGACGUGUCCCCGGAUGAGUGUACCUGAAGAAAAAGCAUCGGCUAACUCCGUGCCAGCAGCCGCGGUAAUACGGAGGAUGCGAGCGUUAUCCGGAUUUAUUGGGUUUAAAGGGUGCGCAGGCGGUCUGUUAAGUCAGCGGUCAAAGCCCGGGGCUCAACCCCGGCCCGCCGUUGAAACUGGCAGUCUCGAGUUGGAGAGAAGUAUGCGGAAUGCGCGGUGUAGCGGUGAAAUGCAUAGAUAUCGCGCAGAACUCCGAUUGCGAAGGCAGCAUGCCGGCUCCACACUGACGCUAAGGCACGAAAGCGUGGGUAUCGAACAGGAUUAGAUACCCUGGUAGUCCACGCAGUAAACGAUGAA
This 676-nucleotide ribosomal RNA is filed under the name uncultured bacterium. RNAcentral describes it as "bacterial SSU rRNA". It matches the Rfam family "Bacterial small subunit ribosomal RNA", at positions 139 to 813 of the family's 1533-position model. The record is from RNAcentral.